CACAAGCAUCACCACAAAACCUAGCCGGAAAUCGCCUCAGCCACAAGCACCACCACAAAACCCUUGCCGGAAAUCUUUUCUCCUGCUCCUCAAUUUCUCACAAUUUCUCAAGUGUGGUGCCUUCACCACUCCAAGUUCCUAUUUGUAGCCAACUAAGGGUACCCACGCCUCGUUUCACGAGCAAACCCUAGCACCCUUUC
RNAcentral lists this long non-coding RNA (200 nucleotides) under Prunus persica (peach). Its description in RNAcentral is "long non-coding RNA (PPER_LNC000500)". Lineage: Eukaryota; Viridiplantae; Streptophyta; Magnoliopsida; Rosales; Rosaceae. The record is from RNAcentral.